This 683-nucleotide ribosomal RNA is filed under the name uncultured bacterium. RNAcentral describes it as "bacterial SSU rRNA". It matches the Rfam family "Bacterial small subunit ribosomal RNA", at positions 9 to 679 of the family's 1533-position model. The record is from RNAcentral.
GAGUUUGAUCCUGGCUCAGGAUGAACGCUGGCGGCGUGCCUAACACAUGCAAGUCGAACGGACUUAACCUGAAACCUAGUGAAGGUUAAGUUAGUGGCGGACGGGUGAGUAACGCGUGGACAACCUGCCGCAUGCAGGGGGAUAACAGUUGGAAACAGCUGCUAAUACCGCAUAAGCGCACAGUGCCGCAUGGCACGGUGUGAAAAGAAAUUCGGCAUGCGAUGGAUCCGCGUCCGAUUAGCCAGUUGGCGGGGUAACGGCCCACCAAAGCGACGAUCGGUAGCCGGCCUGAGAGGGCGGACGGCCACAUUGGGACUGAGACACGGCCCAAACUCCUACGGGAGGCAGCAGUGGGGAAUAUUGCACAAUGGACGAAAGUCUGAUGGAGCAACGCCGCGUGAGUGAAGAAGGGUUUCGGCUCGUAAAGCUCUGUUGGUAGUGAAGAAAGAUAGAGGUAGUAACUGGCCUUUAUUUGACGGUAAUUACUUAGAAAGUCACGGCUAACUACGUGCCAGCAGCCGCGGUAAUACGUAGGUGGCAAGCGUUGUCCGGAUUUAUUGGGCGUAAAGCGAGUGCAGGCGGUUCAAUAAGUCUGAUGUGAAAGCCUUCGGCUCAACCGGAGAAUUGCAUCAGAAACUGUUGAACUUGAGUGCAGAAGAGGAGAGUGGAACUCCAUGUGUAGC